This 362-nucleotide ribosomal RNA is filed under the name uncultured bacterium. Its description in RNAcentral is "bacterial SSU rRNA". It matches the Rfam family "Bacterial small subunit ribosomal RNA", at positions 917 to 1271 of the family's 1533-position model. The record is from RNAcentral.
GGACCCGCACAAGUAGUGGAGCAUGUGGUUUAAUUCGAAGAUACGCGCAGAACCUUACCAACACUUGACAUGUUCGUCGCGACUCUAAGAGAUUAGAGUUUUCGGUUCGGCCGGACGAAACACAGGUGCUGCAUGGCUGUCGUCAGCUCGUGUCGUGAGAUGUUGGGUUAAGUCCCGCAACGAGCGCAACCCUCACUUUUUAGUUGCCAUCAUUAAGUUGGGCACUCUAGAGAGACUGCCGGUGACAAACCGGAGGAAGGUGGGGACCGACGGUCAAGUCAUCAUGGCCCUUACGGCCUGGGCUACACACGUGCUACAAUGGCUAGGACAGAGCGGCCGCAAACCCCGCGAGGGGGAGCCAA